GCCAGGGUGGCGGAAUUGGCAGACGCGCCAGACUUAGGAUCUGGUGCUGAGAAGCGUGCAGGUUCGAGUCCUGUCCCUGGCA
This 82-nucleotide transfer RNA is filed under the name Verrucomicrobiota bacterium. Its description in RNAcentral is "Verrucomicrobia bacterium tRNA-Leu". It matches the Rfam family "tRNA". From Rfam's summary of the family: Transfer RNA (tRNA) molecules are approximately 80 nucleotides in length. Their secondary structure includes four short double-helical elements and three loops (D, anti-codon, and T loops). RNAcentral also lists the same sequence under 1 other name. Lineage: Bacteria; Pseudomonadati; Verrucomicrobiota. The record is from RNAcentral.